UCUUAAAGCACUUGCCCAACGGUGAGCAACGGCCUCCAACGGUGCCCGAGGGACUCGCGCUGCCCGUUAAGCAGCUUUGCGGUGGCGGAGGCUGGGCUGCCGUCUCUCCGACAUCCCGGGACGGAGGAAGAGAUGAAGGCUCUGCAGCCCCCGCCGCCCGAUUUACGCUUGAGAAAGCGAAGGCGAGAGAGGUCGUCCAGCCCCUGGGGGCCCAGCCCUAGAGAGCGGGGCGCGGGCUGCGGGGCCCGGCGGCCUGGACGGCGGAGCGUUGAAAGCUCCCCCAGGGAUAGGAAGUGCAGCCGAAAUCAACGAUUGAGGUCAGUGAAGGAGCGGACGCUUGAGGCCUUGGAGGGGAAGCAGGUUUCUCCAGGAGGGAACCCGGGCCUCCGCUUUGCUCAGCGCUCCCCUCGCGAAUGUGUUGAGCACCUGUUAUGUGCUGGGGGUACAGAGGGUCUGAGCACCUCCCUCAUGCAGACAGAGCCCCGGCUCCCAUGUUCACCAUGCUGAGAAAGACCUGCGGGGGACAGCAGGAGGACAGCCGGGGAAUGGGCCCGCACUUGCCCAGGUGAGUGCUGUGGGGAGUCAGGCCAGCCCUGUGGAGAAGGCCGCUGGAAAGGGGGAACUGAUGCUGCCAUUCCUUAUAAAAAGGGCCACCCAGUCCAUGUAGCUGAGGACCAGCACCAGGCAGGAUCUUUAAUGGGACUCUGGGCUUUGUUAAAGGGCCACAGGCUUGUUUAGGGAGGUGGGGACAGAGUCAGGAGGGAGAAGUACCACUUCUCCUGGGAGCGGCACAUGGCAUGGAACAAAAUAGCCCUGGGGCACGCCCUGAGCCCAGCCCUAGUUUUCUAGCUAAGGAUCAGGUGAGAACCCCCAGACCUCUAGCUCCUCUCAGGAGGCUGGCUGCUGGCUGGUUCCUCUUCCAGAAGUCCGUGCAGAUCCUGUCCUCUGGCUUUGCCUUGCCUAAGACCCAGUCUGCACCAAGGCUGAGUCCCUGGACUUCUGGAGAGAGAGGGCUGUCCCUUUGUGCCCUACAAGUACAGUGUGUGGGCGCCUCCCCUGGGCCCUGCACAGGUUCUGUGGCACCGGCAGCAUGCGGGAAGGUGGGAGGAGGCACACCCUGCCUUUGGGAAGCUGAGAACAGAUCCCUGGGGGCAACCUGUGCCCCUGUAACCAGGAGGAGUCUCAAUAGGAAAUUUUAGCUGCUCCUGGUGGAGCAGGGCCUCUGUCUUAAGGAGAGUGGAAUUUCCGAGGGACAGACAUUUCCUGACCAUUUGUGUAUAGGAAUCAAGGCAAUGAGAGAACAAUCAACAGGGCAUGGGAGAUGAGAAAAAGGUGAGAUGACCUCUGACAGGCAGGCUCCUGAAGGAAGGCUUCCUGGAGGAGGUGGCAUGUGAGCCCUGCAGGACAGGUAGAGGUUGGAGGAUGAGACAGAGGAGGGGGCCUUGCCUUUCAGACCCCAGGCGCCACCAUGCUCCCCAUCUUGACUUGGGAAUUUCCCAGUGACAGGGCAGGAGUGAAGUGCAGGGCCUUCCCACUGCUGGGAAUUUGGCUGUGUUGGCGCGUGGGGUCUGCCCUGGGGCGCGUGCUGCCUUCGCUAGCUUCACCCCAUUUCCCUCUCUCCCCUUCUUACCAUCAGAGGCAGAGCUCGUGCAUGCCCGACCUCGCUCCUCACGGCUCCCUGGGCAGCAGCGCCCUGGCAGUUGGAACUGGAAGGCUUAUCAGAGUCCACGCAGCCCCACCGCCCUCCCCACUCUCGGGGGUGGGCAUCGGGGGACAGGGCCAGGGCAGGGAGGAAGACAGGGCCCGGCUCACCCCACAGCUCAGCCCAUGAGGGUGCGCAGAGCAGGGCUGGCAGGAGUGGGCCACUCCACACCCAGCCCUGUUGAAGAGAAAGAACAGAAAUAGGGAACAGAAAGUUGUCGAUUGCUGUGUAACAAAUUGCCCGCAGUUUAGUGCCUUCAAACAAACGUAGCUGCACAGUGUCUGUGGGUCAGACAUCCAGGCCCGGGGAAGGAGCCUCUGCCUCAAGGUCCCUCCCGAGGCCUCAGUCAGGGCCCGGCCGGACUGUGAGUAGAUUGCACGCUCCGUGCGGGGAGGCUCGGCUUCUCUGCUGGCCCCGCGCCUGUGGGCAGGAUUCAGUUCCUCAUGGGCUAUUAGAGUGAGGGCCUCGAUCUUUUCUGCUGUUUGGCUGGAGGCCUCGCUCAGUUCUCUGCUGCACGGACCUUUCCUUGGCACAGCUCCCGCAUAGCUGAGCAAGCCGCGAAGGCGGGCUCCUGCAGCCGAAGGGAAUUCUCCCCUGUUUCUGCUGUGUUCUGUUUGUGUAGGUUCAGCCCCGGGGAGGAGGUUCCACAGGACAGACAGACCAGGAGUUGGGGGCGUUGAGGGCCAUCUCACAGGCUGCCCACCACAGCCCCCACGCAGCCACCUGUGUCUGUGUUCUUGCCACUGUCCCUACCCUCCAGGAGUGGGUCUGGUCUCAUCAGGGAGGGCAGCGCUCUCUUCACUCUGUCCUUACUCUGGUGUUUCACUGUGAUUUUAAAAACUGAAACUGCACUUGUUACCCCUUGACAGAGCUGCACCCUGAGAGGGCCUCUGCGACGCCCCUCCUUCUCUUAAGCCUUUCCAAGCUGUCUGACGAUUUUUAAAUCCCAUUUCCUGAGUGACACAGAGCAUCUUUUCUUAAGCUUAUGAGUGACUUAUUUGUGUUUUCCUCAAAGCUAGAGGGGACCCCCAAUCUGUUUGUUUCCAGAGUCCCUGAUGGUGUCGUCUUGGGAGUGGAGGAACCUGAGGGAAAAGCCCAGGGACGAGUCAGGGGAGAGCUCUGCCCUGGUGCUCUUGCACGUAUCCACAUGGGCCACAGCUGCACCCGGCUCUCAGCAGAGGGCAUCGCCAUGCUCCUGGGCACAGCCGGGCCCUCUCGCCUCCCUGCGGCUCCUGAUGCCUCCCAGGCUCCGCUGAGGUCACCUUGGGCACUUAGCGUGGCUGCAGCUCUUUGCAGCCCCGUGUCCUGUCAUCCAUGUGGCCGUCAUGUGGUCACUUUUGGGCAUUGCCCUGCGCAAGGUCCAUGGGGACUGGGCACCUUUGGCCAUUCUUUCUUUGGUUGUCUGUGCA
This is a long non-coding RNA of Homo sapiens (human), 3111 nucleotides long. Ensembl annotates it as long intergenic non-protein coding RNA 2610. NCBI's taxonomy places the organism in Eukaryota, Metazoa, Chordata, Mammalia, Primates, Hominidae. The record is from Ensembl.